This 600-nucleotide long non-coding RNA is filed under the name Nicotiana tabacum (common tobacco). Its description in RNAcentral is "long non-coding RNA (NTAB_LNC016163)". The record is from RNAcentral. Lineage: Eukaryota; Viridiplantae; Streptophyta; Magnoliopsida; Solanales; Solanaceae.
AAUGAUUCGAACUCGAAGUAAUGUAGCCCGUAGGCGUAAAGGUCGAGUGAGUGCUUGCUCGAACGCGAAAAUAAAAGUAGCCCGUAGGCUUAGUCAUCGAGUGAAUGAUUCGAACUCGAAGUAAUGUAGUCCAUAGGCAUAAAGGUCGAGUGAGUGCUUGCUCGAACUCAAAAUAAAAGUAGCCCGUAGGCUUAGUCGUCGAGUGAAUGAUUCGAACUCGAAGUAAUGUAGCCCGUAGGCAUAAUGGUCGAGUGAGUGCUUGCUCGAACUCGAAAUAAAAGUUGCCCGUAGGCUUAGUCGUCGAGUGAAUGAUUCGAACUCGAAGUAAUGUAGCCCGUGGGCAUAAAGGUCGAAUUAAUCUUAAUUCUGUUUGCGUAAUAAAUCUCCAAAUAGAGGAAUUUUUCUUGGGUAUAAGAUGUCGGUAAAAAGGAGAACUUUCUUUGCAAGUCACUAUACAUGUGUUCAUGUUUCAUGCCUAGGUUCGGGACAAUCUACAUGAGCAUGGUUCAUUUUGACCAUUUGGCUCUUACAACUUUUCCUAUUGAAACCCGUAUAAGAUAUCGGUAAAGAGGAGAACUUUCUUUGCAUCUGAACUUGAUG